AUGCUUAUCUCAGCAACACAUAUACCAAAUGUGGGAUAAUACAAAGGAGAUUAGUGUGGCCCCUGCACAAGGAUGACAGGCAAAUUCAUGAUGUGCUCUAUACUUUU
Small nuclear RNA from Dipodomys ordii (Ord's kangaroo rat), 107 nucleotides. Lineage: Eukaryota; Metazoa; Chordata; Mammalia; Rodentia; Heteromyidae. The record is from Ensembl.